Molecule: ribosomal RNA, 837 nt
Filed under: uncultured Articulospora
Lineage: Eukaryota; Fungi; Ascomycota; Leotiomycetes; Helotiales; Helotiaceae
Description: eukaryotic LSU rRNA
Rfam family: 5.8S ribosomal RNA (bases 494-647)
Source: RNAcentral
AAGUCGUAACAAGGUAUCNUUCCACGGAAGCCUGUGUUCCCGCGACUCUAAACAUAGGAGCAAGUAGCGACAAGCUGCUACAUAAUCGAACUGCGGGGAUCUCCUAAAGCUCCGGCUACUCCCCUACCGCUGAAAAGUGGUGGGUAUAGUAAGAAUGCCGGGGAUGCUACAAUGGACGAUCCGCAGCCUAGCCCCUACCGUCACAGUACCACGGGGAAGGUUCACAGACUAAGUGAUUAUGGGUAGGGUCCCCCCUACUUAAGAUAUAGUCGGUCGGUCGGCGAGAGCUGACUGCUAGAGACGUUCCGUAGGUGAACCUGCGGAAGGAUCAUUACAGAGUUCAUGCCCUCACGGGUAGAUCUCCCACCCUUGAAUACUAUACCUUCGUUGCUUUGGCAGGCCGUGGAAACACCACGGGCCUCGGCUAGUGCGUGCCUGCCAGAGGAAACACAACUCUGUUUUUAGUGAUGUCUGAGUACUAUAUAAUAGUUAAAACUUUCAACAACGGAUCUCUUGGUUCUGGCAUCGAUGAAGAACGCAGCGAAAUGCGAUAAGUAAUGUGAAUUGCAGAAUUCAGUGAAUCAUCGAAUCUUUGAACGCACAUUGCGCCCCGUGGUAUUCCGCGGGGCAUGCCUGUUCGAGCGUCAUUUCAACCAAUCAAGCCUCGGCUUGGUCUUGGGGUUUGCGGUCCCGCAUCCCCUAAACUCAGUGGCGGUGCGAUUGAGCUCUGAGCGUAGUAAUUUUUUCUCGCUAUAGGGUCUCGAUCGUGACUUGCCAGUAACCCCCCAUUUUUAUCAGGUUGACCUCGGAUCAGGUAGGGAUACCCGCUGAACUUAA